GAUCAAGCGCAUAAGGGCUUCUGACGGAUGCCUUGGCGCUGGGAGGCGAUGAAGGACGUGGCACGCUGCGAUAAGCUGUGGGGAGGCGCGAGCACCCUUUGAUCCACAGAUUUCCGAAUGGGGAAACCCGG
This 131-nucleotide ribosomal RNA is filed under the name uncultured bacterium. Its description in RNAcentral is "partial 23S ribosomal RNA". It matches the Rfam family "Bacterial large subunit ribosomal RNA", at positions 1 to 131 of the family's 2925-position model. The record is from RNAcentral.